This 314-nucleotide ribosomal RNA is filed under the name uncultured bacterium. RNAcentral describes it as "partial 16S ribosomal RNA". It matches the Rfam family "Bacterial small subunit ribosomal RNA", at positions 499 to 807 of the family's 1533-position model. The record is from RNAcentral.
UUAUAAGAGACAGCAGUAGCCACGGUAAUACGUAGGUGGCAAGCGUUGUCCGGAAUUACUGGGCGUAAAGGGCUCGCAGGCGGUUUCUUAAGUCUGAUGUGAAAGCCCCCGGCUCAACCGGGGAGGGUCAUUGGAAACUGGGAAACUUGAGUGCAGAAGAGGAGAGUGGAAUUCCACGUGUAGCGGUGAAAUGCGUAGAGAUGUGGAGGAACACCAGUGGCGAAGGCGACUCUCUGGUCUGUAACUGACGCUGAGGAGCGAAAGCGUGGGGAGCGAACAGGAUUAGAUACCCCCGUAGUCCCUGUCUCUUAUAC